This 443-nucleotide ribosomal RNA is filed under the name uncultured bacterium. RNAcentral's name for it is "partial 16S ribosomal RNA". It matches the Rfam family "Bacterial small subunit ribosomal RNA", at positions 338 to 795 of the family's 1533-position model. The record is from RNAcentral.
CCUACGGUGCGCUGCAGUGGGGAAUAUUGGACAAUGGGGGGAACCCUGAUCCAGCGACGCCGCGUGAGUGAAGAAGUAUUUCGGUAUGUAAAGCUCUAUCAGCAGGGAAGAAAGAAAUGACGGUACCUGACUAAGAAGCCCCGGCUAACUACGUGCCAGCAGCCGCGGUAAUACGUAGGGGGCAAGCGUUAUCCGGAUUUACUGGGUGUAAAGGGAGCGUAGACGGCGAUGCAAGUCUGAAGUGAAAGGCGGGGGCCCAACCCCCGGACUUCUUUGGAAACUGUAUGGCUGGAGUGCAGGAGAGGGAAGUGGAAUUCCUAGUGUAGCGGUGAAAUGCGUAGAUAUUAGGAGGAACACCAGUGGCGAAGGCGGCUUACUGGACUGUAACUGACGUUGAGGCUCGAAAGCGUGGGGAGCAAACAGGAUUAGAUACCCUAGUAGUC